GAUGAGCGCUGGCGGCGUGCCUAAUACAUGCAAGUCGAGCGAACAGACGAGGAGCUUGCUCCUCUGACGUUAGCGGCGGACGGGUGAGUAACACGUGGAUAACCUACCUAUAAGACUGGGAUAACUUCGGGAAACCGGAGCUAAUACCGGAUAAUAUAUUGAACCGCAUGGUUCAAUAGUGAAAGACGGUUUUGCUGUCACUUAUAGAUGGAUCCGCGCCGCAUUAGCUAGUUGGUAAGGUAACGGCUUACCAAGGCAACGAUGCGUAGCCGACCUGAGAGGGUGAUCGGCCACACUGGAACUGAGACACGGUCCAGACUCCUACGGGAGGCAUCAGUAGGGAAUCUUCCGCAAUGGGCGAAAGCCUGACGGAGCAACGCCGCGUGAGUGAUGAAGGUCUUCGGAUCGUAAAACUCUGUUAUUAGGGAAGAACAAAUGUGUAAGUAACUAUGCACGUCUUGACGGUACCUAAUCAGAAAGCCACGGCUAACUACGUG
RNAcentral lists this ribosomal RNA (497 nucleotides) under uncultured bacterium. RNAcentral's name for it is "partial 16S ribosomal RNA". It matches the Rfam family "Bacterial small subunit ribosomal RNA", at positions 28 to 507 of the family's 1533-position model. The record is from RNAcentral.